UUACGGUCACAUCACAUUGAAACACUAGUUCCUGUAGGAUAACUGAAGUUAAGCAAUGCCAAGCCUGGUUAGCAUCUAGAUGGGUGAUCAUUUGGGAAUAUCAGGUGCUGUAAG
Non-coding RNA from Acanthosepion pharaonis, 114 nucleotides. Lineage: Eukaryota; Metazoa; Mollusca; Cephalopoda; Sepiida; Sepiidae. The record is from the annotation of a GenBank genome assembly.